This 553-nucleotide ribosomal RNA is filed under the name uncultured fungus. Its description in RNAcentral is "eukaryotic LSU rRNA". The stretch from base 177 to 330 matches the Rfam family "5.8S ribosomal RNA". The record is from RNAcentral. Lineage: Eukaryota; Fungi.
CUUGGUCAUUUAGAGGAAGUAAAAGUCGUAACAAGGUUUCCGUAGGUGAACCUGCGGAAGGAUCAUUAGUGAACGCCCUCACGGGCUUAUAACUAUUCCAAACCUCUGUGAACCGUGCCCUUCGGGGCUAUUUUACAAACAUGGUGUAAUGAACGUCAUAUAUCAUAACAAAACAAAACUUUCAACAACGGAUCUCUUGGCUCUCGCGUCGAUGAAGAACGCAGCGAAAUGCGAUAAGUAAUGUGAAUUGCAGAAUUCAGUGAAUCAUCGAAUCUUUGAACGCACCUUGCGCCCUCUGGUAUUCCGGAGGGCAUGCCUGUUUGAGUGUCAUGUAGACUCAAUCCCUCGGGUUUCCGAGAAGAUUGGACUUGGGUGUUGCCGCUCUGCCGGCUCGCCUUAAAAGACUUAGCGGGAUAGCACCGUAGUCGGCGUAAUAAGUUUCGUCGGUGAAGGUUGUGAUGACUGCUUACAAUCGCCCUCGGGCAAUUUUUGACUCUGACCUCAAAUCAGGUAGGACUGCCCGCUGAACUUAAGCAUAUCAAUAAGCGGAGGA